Long non-coding RNA from Vidua chalybeata, 1211 nucleotides. RefSeq lists it as uncharacterized. The transcript has 2 exons. The record is from RefSeq and is a predicted model, not a curated record. Lineage: Eukaryota; Metazoa; Chordata; Aves; Passeriformes; Viduidae.
AGCCUCUUUUUUAUUCCAGUUUCCUUCUCUCUUUCCCCAUUGCCUGAGGUACUUGAGAGGUUCAGACUUCCCAGAACACCUGAUGAAAAGAUUUCCCUCUAAUGUACAACCCUCCCUUUUCAUUUUUAAUUAUUAUGGAAUUUAGGCUUUUCCCUUAGCCAAUCCCAUUUAUCAGCAAACCUACAGUUUGCUUGUAAAGCCAAAUAUCUUUUUUCCAUUAUCACCCACUGGAAUCCUCCCCACUGGUUCUUUUACCUCUCCGUGCUGGUUUUAUCUGCCAGCAGACGCACAGCUGGUUUGUGGGGACAAAGCCCUCAUUGCUCUCAACUCCAAGCUCUGGCUCACAGGCCCAAAGGCCCGCGAGGUCCCCGCGCUCCGACCCCACCGCGCAGCGCCGCCAUCGCUGUGAGGGCGGGGCCGGCCUCGCCUCAGCCAGCACCCGCGUGACGUCAUCCGCAGCGACCAACGUCAUCCGCAGCGCCCGACGUCACGCACCGCGCACGCGCGCUGCCGGUAACGGCCGUCCCGGCGCGUCUCCAGCCAGCCCCGCUCCCGCCGCGGCGGGAUACGGAGAGCGCACAGGGACAAUCCGAGCCCGUUAUGCGUUGCCGUACGGGAGCCCAGUGGGGACAUGUCAGUCUAAUGGCGAUCGUCGCUUGUUGCCAUGGCAGCGGGGCCCGCGGCCGUGGGGAGCCCCCAGUGUCGCCGUCCCCUCACGGGGACCCCUCAGUGCCGUUAUCCUCUCAAGGAGACCUCCCAGGACCGUUGGAAAACAUAACAGUUUUAAAGUUUUUGUGUAACUUUAGUCAAGGGGUUUUGUUUGCCUUUGCCCCGGGAAAAAGGAAUUUAAGUCUCUUUCUAGGCCAUUGUUCCACCAGGGUUGGAGACCUCUCCUCUGAAAAGACUGAUGAGAAAAUCAAGGACUGAAGAUCUCAUUAACAUCAGAAGGGAAGAAAUCCAGAUCCAAUAGGAGACCAAAUACUAAAAACUGCUUGGGACCAAUGAACACUGACCCAAUUCGCUCCUCUGGAUUUUGACUGUAUAAAAUAUCUGAAAAAUCUAGUUAAAAUCUAGUUAAAUCCUGUGUCACGAAAUGACUCUCUGCACACCCGGGCUGUGUGCAGAUGAGAUGAUUUCUGUGGUACAUCCUGGCCAGAACAACAUCCUGGCCAGAUAAUAAAGCAAUGCCUCGACUGUCCAACUUUAAAAAA